AAGUCGUAACAAGGUAACCGUAGGUGAACCUGCGGUUGGAUCAUUACAAAAUGAUGGGUCUUGAAAGCGUGUAAGUUGAUGACUGAAAACUUUCGAGACUUAACAACCCUUUGUGCACAAAAAUGUUUUUUGGGCUGGCUUCUUUUAGAGGCAAGCCCAGCAUAUUAUGCCUGCGAGUCACGCAAGUGUUAGCAAGCAUAAGUAAACACCUUUUUUAAUUUGACUGAAUUUUUUUGAAAUAUAAAAAAUAACAACUUUUGACAACGGAUCUCUUAGCUCUU
RNAcentral lists this unclassified non-coding RNA (281 nucleotides) under fungal sp. RNAcentral describes it as "partial internal transcribed spacer region". The stretch from base 1 to 46 matches the Rfam family "Eukaryotic small subunit ribosomal RNA", at positions 1786 to 1831 of the family's 1831-position model. Lineage: Eukaryota; Fungi. The record is from RNAcentral.